GGCGCCCCAGGCCUGAAAGGUUCCAUGGCCUGGAUCCUCAGCUAAAGUCCCGCGUUCCUGUGAACCCCAACUGUGCUGAGGUCAAUGCAGGAUGAAGGUGGGAGAUGUACUUAAACACCGACUGCCAGGAAGGUCUUUUCCAUUUGGUAGUGAUCAGAUGUCAGCCAGACCAUCUCCGGGGAUGAGCUGUAGGUGAAGUGAGCCUCGCAAGAAUGCGCUGAGUGAACGGGAAAGACUGCAGUGCAGAAGGACAUAUGGGGAAACCUUCAAAUCGUCAUUUCAUCACCCAGAUGUGCACCCAAGUAAUCAGAAUCCAAGGCGAAUCUAGAAUGCCAUCAAGUGCCAUCACAAAGUCCUUCCAUAGGAGAGAGAAAGAAAUUCCCACCGGAGGCAAGCAAAGAGGGCUGCUUGAAGGAGGCAGGGGCAUGUAACCUGGCCUCGGGAGAUGAGUAAAAUCUCAGCUGGUGGAGGAGGAAUGGGACCCGAGGCAUGAAGCAUCAGGGUAGCUUGGGUCGGCCUCAUCUCCCCAGCCUGGGAUUGGGGAAGGCAGAAGGGAGAUCUAUACCCUAGAACCUCAACCAAGGAGGUUGGACUUCCCCAGAAUGAGGGCAGGGAGGAAGCUGUGGAAUAUUUUGGAGGAAGGAGUGACACGAUGAGAUGCCGCAGGCCAGUGGGGAGUCAUGCAGAGACACAUGUAGAAACGGCC
This 706-nucleotide long non-coding RNA is filed under the name Homo sapiens (human). RNAcentral's name for it is "HSALNT0231299". Lineage: Eukaryota; Metazoa; Chordata; Mammalia; Primates; Hominidae. The record is from RNAcentral.